Molecule: ribosomal RNA, 796 nt
Filed under: uncultured bacterium
Lineage: Bacteria
Description: bacterial SSU rRNA
Rfam family: Bacterial small subunit ribosomal RNA
Source: RNAcentral
UGCAAGUCGAACGAGAAAGUGGAGCAAUCCAGUGAGUACAGUGGCGACCGGGUGAGUAACACGUGACUAACCUACCUUCGAGUGGGGGAUAACCUCGGGAAACCGAGGCUAAUACCGCAUAACAUCGAGAGAUCAAAGGAGCAAUUCGCUUGAAGAGGGGGUCGCGGCUGAUUAGCUAGUUGGCGGGGUAAUGGCCCACCAAGGCGAAGAUCGGUAGCCGGCCUGAGAGGGCGCACGGCCACACUGGAACUGAAACACGGUCCAGACUCCUACGGGAGGCAGCAGUGGGGAAUUUUGCGCAAUGGGGGAAACCCUGACGCAGCAACGCCGCGUGGAGGAUGAAGCCCCUUGGGGCGUAAACUCCUUUCGACCAAGACGAUUAUGACGGUACUGGUGGAAGAAGCACCGGCUAACUCUGUGCCAGCAGCCGCGGUAAUACAGAGGGUGCGAGCGUUGUUCGGAAUUAUUGGGCGUAAAGGGCGCGUAGGCGGCGCAGCAAGUCACCUGUGAAAUCUCCAAGCUUAACUUGGAGCCUGCAGGCGAAACUGCUGUGCUGGAGUAUGGGGAGAGGUGCGUGGAAUUCCGUGUAGCGGGAAAUGCGUAAUAUCGGGAGGAACACCUGUGGCGAAAGCGGCGCACUGGACCAUAACUGACGCUGAGGCGCGAAAGCUAGGGGACAAACAGGAUUAGAUACCCUGGUAGUCCUAGCCCUAAACGAUGAUUGCUUGGUGUACCGGUACCCAAUCCGGCUGUGCCGCAGCUAACGCAUAGCAUCCCCUGGGGAGUACGGUCGCAA